RNAcentral lists this ribosomal RNA (254 nucleotides) under uncultured bacterium. RNAcentral describes it as "partial 16S ribosomal RNA". It matches the Rfam family "Bacterial small subunit ribosomal RNA", at positions 524 to 776 of the family's 1533-position model. The record is from RNAcentral.
UACGGGGGGAGCAAGCGUUGUUCGGAUUUACUGGGCGUAAAGGGCGCGUAGGCGGCCAGCACAAGUCAGUUGUGAAAUCUCCGGGCUUAACUCGGAAAGGUCAACUGAUACUGUGCGGCUAGAGUGCAGAAGGGGCAACUGGAAUUCUCGGUGUAGCGGUGAAAUGCGUAGAUAUCGAGAGGAACACCUGCGGCGAAGGCGGCACUCUGGGCUGGUACUGACGCUGAGGAGCGAAAGCGUGGGUAGCAAACAGG